GUUCUGCUUCCGUUGGAUUAAUCCUUACAACGAUGGGUAUCCCCAUAUCUUCAUCCGCUGCCUGUAGUACCUCCUGGUACUUUUUCUGAUCUCUCUUCAGUUAUUGCUUCCUGGUAAUGACCAUAGGAACGCAAUGGUCCUCGUCAGCCUCUCUCAUUACCUGACAGUAUCUUUCAUCCUCUUUCUCCUGCCUCCUUCUUUCUCUCUCUCUAAUUACAAUUCUAAGAUCUUGUUGUUCUUCCUCCUGC
RNAcentral lists this long non-coding RNA (248 nucleotides) under Mytilus galloprovincialis (Mediterranean mussel). Lineage: Eukaryota; Metazoa; Mollusca; Bivalvia; Mytilida; Mytilidae. The record is from RNAcentral.